GAUGAACGCUGGCGGCGUGCCUAAUACAUGCAAGUCGAGCGAACAGAUAAGGAGCUUGCUCCUUUGAAGUUAGCGGCGGACGGGUGGGUAACACGUGGGUAACCUACCUAUAAGACUGGGAUAACUUCGGGAAACCGGAGCUAAUACCGGAUAACAUUUAGAACCGCAUGGUUCUAAAGUGAAAGAUGGUUUUGCUAUCACUUAUAGAUGGACCUGCGCCGUAUUAGCUAGUUGGUAAGGUAACGGCUUACCAAGGCGACGAUACGUAGCCGACCUGAGAGGGUGAUCGGCCACACUGGAACUGAGACACGGUCCAGACUCCUACGGGAGGCAGCAGUAGGGAAUCUUCCGCAAUGGGCGAAAGCCUGACGGAGCAACGUCGCGUGAGUGAUGAAGGGUUUCGGCUCGUAAAACUCUGUUAUUAGGGAAGAACAAAUGUGUAAGUAACUGUGCGCAUCUUGACGGUACCUAAUCGGAAAGCCACGGCUAACUACGUGCCAGCCGCCGCCGUAA
This 513-nucleotide ribosomal RNA is filed under the name uncultured bacterium. RNAcentral describes it as "partial 16S ribosomal RNA". It matches the Rfam family "Bacterial small subunit ribosomal RNA", at positions 28 to 523 of the family's 1533-position model. The record is from RNAcentral.